This 585-nucleotide ribosomal RNA is filed under the name uncultured bacterium. Its description in RNAcentral is "partial 16S ribosomal RNA". It matches the Rfam family "Bacterial small subunit ribosomal RNA", at positions 355 to 938 of the family's 1533-position model. The record is from RNAcentral.
UGGGGAAUUUUGGACAAUGGGCGAAAGCCUGAUCCAGCAAUGCCGCGUGUGUGAAGAAGGCCUUCGGGUUGUAAAGCACUUUUGUCCGGAAAGAAAUCCUUGGCUCUAAUACAGUCGGGGGAUGACGGUACCGGAAGAAUAAGCACCGGCUAACUACGUGCCAGCAGCCGCGGUAAUACGUAGGGUGCAAGCGUUAAUCGGAAUUACUGGGCGUAAAGCGUGCGCAGGCGGUUUGCUAAGACCGAUGUGAAAUCCCCGGGCUCAACCUGGGAACUGCAUUGGUGACUGGCAGGCUAGAGUAUGGCAGAGGGGGGUAGAAUUCCACGUGUAGCAGUGAAAUGCGUAGAGAUGUGGAGGAAUACCGAUGGCGAAGGCAGCCCCCUGGCAAGUACUGACGCUCAUGCACGAAAGCGUGGGGAGCAAACAGGAUUAGAUACCCUGGUAGUCCACGCCCUAAACGAUGUCAACUAGUUGUUGGGGAUUCAUUUCCUUAGUAACGUAGCUAACGCGUGAAGUUGACCGCCUGGGGAGUACGGUCGCAAGAUUAAAACUUAAAUGAGUUGACGGGGGUCAUAGCUGUUUCCU